GACGGUUAGGAAGCUGACAGAGAUCAGUCGGUUGAGGAAGAUGUUUAAAGGAAACGUGGCUAUAAGUCAUGGUGCUCUCCCAGGAUGACAUUUUUAUUAAUUAACCAGAGAUGAGGAAAACAGGCCUAAAGGUAGCCCAUUCAUAAACUUUACCUUCCCAUACCCACUCAAGUCCCCAUCACAAACUUAUGAGACAGAGAAAGUAACUGCCUCUUCCAGUAGGCAGUGCUUAUGAAGAGUUUCCUAGAAGACUGUCAGGUGUGGGAAUAUAGUAACAGAGGAAAAAUGUCCAAUCUGUAACAACACACCUGCUUGGGGCUUCACCUGUUUGGGUAAUAUUACAUGUGUGUACAGUAAUUAACAAAUUGAGUAGUGCUGCUACUAAACAAACAGCAAGUCACCAGGAUGAGAGAUAAAGGGUUGUGCCCAAGGUAGUGUCAUCUUUCUUUGCAGGGACUUGAAGGGGACUAAAGAAGUCACUAGAGUUUCUACAGCCCAUAGUGGAAGCAUAUAGAGUAGAGCAGAUAUAUAAAAAAGAGAUAAUACAAUUUUAUAUAUAUAUAUAUGUUAUAAUUAAUACAAACAAAUAUAUUUGCAAAUUGUUAUAUAUAUAUAUAGUUAUAUUAGUUAUUUAGCCACUUGAUAAUUAACUGUAAUAAUUAUUUCUAAAAUAAUUAUUUCUAAAUCAGUAGCCUUAUUUGGCUAUGUAAGUAACAUUAAGAUGUUUCCUGUCUCUGACUGGGCUUAUGCUAUUUUUGGAAUGAGGCUUUUAACACUCAUGACUAUGAAUGAAAAGGUUUCAUAUUGUAAAUGUUUGGUAAUAUUUGUUUAAAAUUUUCUGUUGCAGUGACUGUUUCCUCCAGUAAACUACUGUCUUGGAAUAUUUAAACAAAGAAGAGUGGAGCCAAUUACAGUGAAUGACUCAAAAAUAUGAACAAACAUUUCUUGACAACGGUGCAAGGAAUUCAGCAGCCUCUAAUGCAGAAGGGAGCUAAUAGCUGUAAGCACUGGAAGUCAUCUUUGCAGCCUUCAGCAGCUUGUGAAAAAGGAGGUGAAGUGGUCAUAUGACACCUGAGAACUCAAAUAUCCUGUGGUCUUUAAUGUUCUGUGUAAAUGACGGCCAGAUAAGCACAGGAUUGGACUUCACCUGAGGGAGCAAAACCACAGGGAUGAAAACACAAGAAGAACGGGUCAAAAUCCAGCUUAAAAUUCAAAAU
This 1217-nucleotide long non-coding RNA is filed under the name Calidris pugnax (ruff). RNAcentral describes it as "lncRNA (ENSCPUG00000018929.1)". Lineage: Eukaryota; Metazoa; Chordata; Aves; Charadriiformes; Scolopacidae. The record is from RNAcentral.